GGUCUUUCCCUGACUUGGGUCCACCCAAAAGUCAACAACAACAAUUUUGGCGACCAUCGUCUUAGUUGUCACGCUGAAGUCGAUAGUUUGGCUGCCUAAUUUGUUGCAUCGAUCAUGUAUACAGCAUCGUCAUCCUGGCUUCUGACAAUCAUAAAACCGCCACGCUAGGUCUGUACGUUCAUGUAGAAUUGCGACGUCUGUGGUAACAAGGGGAGCUUUUUACGGCGUAUCCUAACCAAGCUUGGGACAGCCUGAUCUUCGUAGCGUCUUCUGUGUAGCUAGCUGGUCCAGCUGGUCGGCUUUCGCCAUAAAUCUACUGAAAGCCGAGCAGCUACAGGAUAACAUGCAAAGUGAUAAUGAUCUGGUGUGGCCUGCGGCGUGCGUGGUAGCAACUGAUCACGAAGGACAACACAGAGAGGCGUACAUGGUGGCUGCUGAGCAUACCCGACCAGCGCAUAAUUCAGCCGCUGGCAUAGGUCCGUGUGGUGAUGAUCACCAAAGGUAUCCACCAGUCAUCCUUUCACCGUUCCAACCUCGCUCGGAUGUUACUUU
RNAcentral lists this long non-coding RNA (552 nucleotides) under Volvox carteri. Its description in RNAcentral is "long non-coding RNA (VCAR_LNC000003)". The record is from RNAcentral. Lineage: Eukaryota; Viridiplantae; Chlorophyta; Chlorophyceae; Chlamydomonadales; Volvocaceae.